RNAcentral lists this ribosomal RNA (261 nucleotides) under uncultured bacterium. RNAcentral's name for it is "partial 16S ribosomal RNA". It matches the Rfam family "Bacterial small subunit ribosomal RNA", at positions 92 to 354 of the family's 1533-position model. The record is from RNAcentral.
CGACCGGCGCACGGGUGAGUAACACGUAUCCAGCCUGCCGAUAACUCGGGGAUAGCCUUUCGAAAGAAAGAUUAAUAUCCGAUAGGAUAUCAAGGUCGCAUGAUCUUGAUAUUAAAGAAUUUCGGUUAUCGAUGGGGAUGCGUUCCAUUAGUUAGUUGGCGGGGUAACGGCCCACCAAGACGACGAUGGAUAGGGGUUCUGAGAGGAAGGUCCCCCACAUUGGAACUGAGACACGGUCCAAACUCCUACGGGAGGCAGCAG